GCCAUGCCGCGUGUGUGAAGAAGGCCCUCGGGUUGUAAAGCACUUUCAGUGAGGAAGAACGCCUGGUGGUUAAUACCCAUCAGGAAAGACAUCACUCACAGAAGAAGCACCGGCUAACUCCGUGCCAGCAGCCGCGGUAAUACGGAGGGUGCGAGCGUUAAUCGGAAUUACUGGGCGUAAAGCGCGCGUAGGUGGCUUGAUAAGCCGGUUGUGAAAGCCCCGGGCUCAACCUGGGAACGGCAUCCGGAACUGUCAAGCUAGAGUGCAGGAGAGGAAGGUAGAAUUCCCGGUGUAGCGGUGAAAUGCGUAGAGAUCGGGAGGAAUACCAGUGGCGAAGGCGGCCUUCUGGACUGACACUGACACUGAGGUGCGAAAGCGUGGGUAGCAAACAGGAUUAGAUACCCUGGUAGUCCACGCCGUAAACGAUGUCGACCAGCCGUUGGGUGCCUAGCGCACUUUGUGGCGAAGUUAACGCGAUAAGUCGACCGCCUGGGGAGUACGGCCGCAAGGUUAAAACUCAAAUGAAUUGACGGGGGCCCGCACAAGCGGUGGAGCAUGUGGUUUAAUUCGAUGCAACGCGAAGAACCUUACCUACUCUUGACAUCCUGCGAACUUGUGAGAGAUCACUUGGUGCCUUCGGGAACGCAGAGACAGGUGCUGCAUGGCUGUCGUCAGCUCGUGUUGUGAAAUGUUGGGUUAAGUCCCGUAACGAGCGC
This 716-nucleotide ribosomal RNA is filed under the name Halomonas sp. LAR05P1. RNAcentral's name for it is "bacterial SSU rRNA". It matches the Rfam family "Bacterial small subunit ribosomal RNA", at positions 391 to 1099 of the family's 1533-position model. The record is from RNAcentral. Lineage: Bacteria; Pseudomonadati; Pseudomonadota; Gammaproteobacteria; Oceanospirillales; Halomonadaceae.